GACGAACCGUGCGAGCGUUGUUCGGAAUCACUGGGCUUAAAGGGCGCGUAGGCGGGCUGGUAAGUCAGGGGUGAAAGCCCACGGCCCAACCGUGGAAGUGCCUUUGAUACUGCCAGUCUCGAGGGAGGUAGGGGCGUGCGGAACUUCCGGUGGAGCGGUGAAAUGCGUAGAUAUCGGAAGGAACACCGGUGGCGAAAGCGGCGCGCUGGACCUCUUCUGACGCUGAGGCGCGAAAGCCAGGGGAGCAAACGGG
Molecule: ribosomal RNA, 253 nt
Filed under: uncultured bacterium
Lineage: Bacteria
Description: partial 16S ribosomal RNA
Rfam family: Bacterial small subunit ribosomal RNA
Source: RNAcentral